RNAcentral lists this ribosomal RNA (433 nucleotides) under uncultured bacterium. RNAcentral's name for it is "partial 16S ribosomal RNA". It matches the Rfam family "Bacterial small subunit ribosomal RNA", at positions 29 to 507 of the family's 1533-position model. The record is from RNAcentral.
AACGAACGCUGGCGGCAUGCCUAACACAUGCAAGUCGAACGAGACCUUCGGGUCUAGUGGCGCACGGGUGCGUAACGCGUGGGAACCUGCCCUUAGGUUCGGAAUAACUCCCCGAAAGGGGUGCUAAUACCGGAUACUGUCUUCGGACCAAAGAUUUAUCGCCUUUGGAUGGGCCCGCGUUGGAUUAGCUAGUUGGUAGGGUAAAAGCCUACCAAGGCGACGAUCCAUAGCUGGUCUGAGAGGAUGAUCAGCCACACUGGGACUGAGUCACGGCCCAGACUCCUACGGGAGGCAGCAGUGGGGAAUAUUGGACAAUGGGCGAAAGCCUGAGCCAGCAAUGCCGCGUGAGUGAUGAAGGCCUUAGGGUUGUAAAGCUCUUUUACCCGGGAUGAUAAUGACAGUACCGGGAGAAUAAGCUCCGGCUAACUCCGUG